This 253-nucleotide ribosomal RNA is filed under the name uncultured bacterium. RNAcentral describes it as "partial 16S ribosomal RNA". It matches the Rfam family "Bacterial small subunit ribosomal RNA", at positions 524 to 776 of the family's 1533-position model. The record is from RNAcentral.
UACGGAGGGGGCGAGCGUUAUUCGGAAUUAUUGGGCGUAAAGGGCGCGUAGGCGGCCUAGCAAGUCAAAGGUGAAAUCCCUCGGCUCAACUGAGGAACUGCCUUUGAAACUGCGAGGCUUGAGGCCGGGAGGGGGUAGCGGAAUUCCCAGUGUAGCGGUGAAAUGCGUAGAUAUUGGGAGGAACACCAGUGGCGAAGGCGGCUACCUGGACCGGUUCUGACGCUGAUGCGCGAAAGCGUGGGUAGCAAACAGG